Cyprinus carpio carpio is the source of this 2894-nucleotide long non-coding RNA. NCBI's taxonomy places the organism in Eukaryota, Metazoa, Chordata, Actinopteri, Cypriniformes, Cyprinidae. The record is from Ensembl.
CUUGGAUUCAGUUCCAGCAAACAAAAGCUGCCCUGUCCACUUCAUCCCCAGAUGUUUUGUAUUGAUCUCCCUGUGGUUUUGGCAGGGUGGAACGUCUGGGAUUGUUGCUCCCCUUUUCUCUUUUUUCUUUGCAGACAGAAUUAGAAAACAAAGGAGAAGGAAAAGUCUGCGAGUGUUUUUGGCUCAACGGUGCAUGUCUACUGGGCGUAGUGUCACAUUUCAGGCAGAAGUGUGGCUGGCCCUGCUCACUUUAUCUCACUCUCUCUCUUCCCCUUACCUGAUCCCUCCCUACACUCCCUGAUUAAUAAUGCAGAGUGUCUCUUUAUCUAAUGUUCGGCUGUAGGUGAGUGCUGCGGAUGAACAGGUGAGGAGUGUGCCUUCGAGGCUCAGAGACCUGGCUGACGGCCUAAUGCUGGGAGGCACGAGGAAGAAAUGGACAGCAGAGAGGGCGUUGGUGAAGUGUUAUGAAGAGCACACCCAUUGUCUCAUUCCAUAUAAGUUAAUAAGUCCCUUUCCAUCCUCUGAAAUGGCAGUGAAGCACUGAAAGAAACAGCUCAAGUGGAACAGCAUGGACCCGAGUAAUGAGUCACUGAGUUGUUUCGCCACUGUGAUCGAAUGCAUUUGGAAGAAUGUGUUUCCUACAAUACUUUUUCAAAGGGCCAUACCACCGCUACUGAAUCUACAGCGUGAAACAGUGUAGUCCAAUAUAGAAUGAACGACUCUGUCAGUAGCUUUAUUUCACUUGAUGAAAAUGAUUGCUUUUUCGUUAAAGUUAACAGUAACGACACUGAACUGGUUUCAAAAGUUAUGAGAACAGCUGGCAGUCUUAGUUAUUUGACUGCCAUAAUACAGUCUGAAGUCUUUAUUGGAUUACAUAACUCUUCUGGCAACAUUUGGAAGCACAAGAUUUGGAAUAAUAUUAUAAGCUCUCUGAUUGGUGAGUAGAUCUUAAUCCCCGCCUACAUUCCACAGUGACUGCUCGCUCUGAGAGCUUCAUGUUUUUCUUGGCUAAUUACACCACUAGCACAUUCCAAUAUCAAUAUCACCAUACGCUCCACAUCAAUAAAACACACAAUUUCUUUCUUACCUGAAUCUGCUCUGCAAUUUCCUUUUGCUCCUAACUCUUUCAGUUUUCAUGAGUCUCUGCUUUAUUUUAGGGGAAGGAAUUUCAUGGUGGUAGUCGGCAAAACAGUCUGAAAGCAAUCUUUUGUUUCAGAGUAUCUUAAUUUAUCAGGAGCAAGAAGUUCGUCAGAGUUUGGAAGACAAAAAUCUCUCAUAUUUUCGAAGUUCUGCCGACAUGCAGUGAAUGGGAUGGGUUUCAUAAAUCUCAGAGCCAAGUUCCUUUAAGUCCAUUGGGGGACCAGGCAUCAGCCGUGACUCAGUCUUUCAAGUGUAACUCGAGCCAGGACAUCUGCAUCGCUGGAGAGGAGGGUACUGAGGCGCUGAUUUGGAACACUCAGCGUCAGGAAUUUUGGCAUGCAGUGAUGCCUAUCAAGCCACUUUGAUUCAGAGAUUCUAAUUUGUUAUUUGUUGCCACAAGAUGUUGUUUUUGUGUUACUGAUUGUCAGUGGAGCCCCUGGUUUUAAGAGGAGACAAGCAAAAAGCUUUCUGUCAUUGUUUUCCUCAGGUGCUUCCAUAGCUAUGCUAAUAUUCACAUCCAGAGGGAAGCUGUGUGUCUGCUGUCGGAGUUCAGCAACAGAUAUCAUUAUUGCAACACCUUGGUAAAAGUUGAGAAUUAUUACACCACUAUGCAAUUUAUUAUUCAUUUGUUUUUCUGUCCUGGGCUUUUAAAUGACAGUUCAUUGGAGAGGUUUUGUGGUCAUUUAGACUCUAACCGCAGUUUGUUUACACUCUUAAAAUUAAAGGUUCUUUAUUGGCAUCUGUGGUUCCACAUAUAACAUCCAGGGAACUUUUCAUUGCACUAAUGAUUCUUUGAGGUGGAAUAGGUUCAAUAAUAUGCUUUACACUAAGAAAAAUUGUUCUUUUAUAAACUAUUCACUGAAAGACUAUUUGGAACCUUUAUUUUUAACUGACUUGGAAAACAUAAUCUCUCUUCAGUUAACUUCACAUUUAGCACUGUAGCGAAAAUAAAAUCUAGGGUGUUGCCAAGGUGUUCUGUGUAGUUGCUAUGUAGCUGUUUAGUGGUGCAUGUCAAAAGUUUUUUCCCCAGCAGGGUGACCAGUGCAUGCAUUUCCCCAGCAAAAAUGACUAUUUCCAGUCUGGUAGUAAUGACUACACAUUCAACUGAUGUGCAUUGCAUUCCUGUGUACAGUAUGUCACUUUGGCGGCUUUCCUUUUACAUGAAGGAAAAAAGCUGAAUAAAAAGUUUCUUACGACAAUUUUUUUUACAUAAUUUUUACACAGAUUUUUGCCCUGAUUUACAGUUUGGAGGAGUCUGAUUUCACACAAAAAAACACAUGGUCAGACUGAUAGCUUCAGACUUUAAUUACCUCCAGUUGGAUGAUAUCAAAUAUGUUUGAUAUUUUGAACCGAUAUUACAAUACUAUUUUAGGCACAGUCUGUCAUCCAUCUAGCAAUGAGGCACAUGUUUCUGCACACAUUUGUUGUGUUUGGAACAAGUUUAAAGCUGUGACAAUGUGAUCCUCAGUUGUUACGUGUACACUGCAGAGUUUUUUGUAAGCCGGUGAGAGUAUGAUGGCUAAAAUCUGUUCAGAUUUUAAAAGUCGUUUAGUGUAUUCUCAAGCCUUAACUUGCACCACAUGAUUUUCUUCAAACUGUUGCUACACCAUAGUAGUAGCAUCAAAAAUGUAAUUUUCAUGCUAAUUCUCUGAAGAAAUUUUAUACCAAUUCUUACUAUAACACCCCUUGCAGCAUCUUGCUUAGCUAGAAAUGCUUGCAUUGAUUUAUUUGCAUAAAACAGGCCUAAUACUUAA